GCAAGUCAGGGGCAGCACAAGGAGCAAUCUGAGGUGGCGACCGGCGCACGGUGAGUAACACGUAUGCAACCUGCCUGUAAGCGGGGAAUAACCCGUUGAAAGACGGACUAAUACCGCAUAAUACUAAAUUACUGCAUGGUAAUUUAUUUAAACAUUUAUGGCUUACAGAUGGGCAUGCGCAUGAUUAGCUAGUUGGAGAGGUAACGGCUCCCCAAGGCAACGAUCAUUAGGGGUUCUGAGAGGAAGGUCCCCCACACUGGUACUGAGACACGGACCAGACUCCUACGGGAGGCAGCAGUGAGGAAUAUUGGUCAAUGGACGAGAGUCUGAACCAGCCAAGUCGCGUGCAGGAAGAAUGUCCUAAUGGAUUGUAAACUGCUUUUGCAGGGGAAUAAAGUGCAUCACGUGUGAUGUUUUGUAUGUACUCUGCGAAUAAGGAUCGGCUAACUCCGUGCCAGCAGCAGC
Molecule: ribosomal RNA, 465 nt
Filed under: uncultured bacterium
Lineage: Bacteria
Description: bacterial SSU rRNA
Rfam family: Bacterial small subunit ribosomal RNA
Source: RNAcentral